This 253-nucleotide ribosomal RNA is filed under the name uncultured bacterium. RNAcentral describes it as "partial 16S ribosomal RNA". It matches the Rfam family "Bacterial small subunit ribosomal RNA", at positions 524 to 776 of the family's 1533-position model. The record is from RNAcentral.
UACGUAGGUGGCAAGCGUUAUCCGGAUUUACUGGGUGUAAAGGGCGUGUAGGCGGGACUGCAAGUCAGAUGUGAAAACCACGGGCUCAACCUGUGGCCUGCAUUUGAAACUGUAGUUCUUGAGUACUGGAGAGGCAGACGGAAUUCCUAGUGUAGCGGUGAAAUGCGUAGAUAUUAGGAGGAACACCAGUGGCGAAGGCGGCUUACUGGACGGCAACUGACGCUGAGGCUCGAAAGCGUGGGGAGCAAACAGG